RNAcentral lists this non-coding RNA (31 nucleotides) under Mus musculus (house mouse). Lineage: Eukaryota; Metazoa; Chordata; Mammalia; Rodentia; Muridae. The record is from RNAcentral.
UAUAUACUCAGGACAGAGCUUGGUGACCAGG